This 488-nucleotide ribosomal RNA is filed under the name uncultured Mycoplasma sp. Its description in RNAcentral is "bacterial SSU rRNA". It matches the Rfam family "Bacterial small subunit ribosomal RNA", at positions 924 to 1434 of the family's 1533-position model. The record is from RNAcentral. Lineage: Bacteria; Bacillati; Mycoplasmatota; Mollicutes; Mycoplasmatales; Mycoplasmataceae.
AACAAGUGGUGGAGCAUGUUGCUUAAUUCGAUAAUACACGAAAAACCUUACCAAGGUUUGACAUCCCUCGCAAAGCUAUAGAAAUAUAGUGGAGGUUAUCGAGGUGACAGGUGGUGCAUGGCUGUCGUCAGCUCGUGUCUUGAGAUGUUUGGUUAAGUCCCGCAACGAGCGCAACCCCACUCUUUAGUUACUUUUCUAAAGAGACUGCACAGUAAUGUAGAGGAAGGAUGGGAUCACGUCAAGUCAUCAUGCCCCUUAUGCCUUGGGCUGCAAACGUGCUACAAUGGCGAACACAAUGUGUUGCAAACCAGCGAUGGUAAGCUAAUCACCAAAUUUCGUCUCAGUUCGGAUAGGAGGCUGCAAUUCGCCUCCUUGAAGUUGGAAUCACUAGUAAUCCCGUGUCAGCUAUAUCGGGGUGAAUACGUUCCCAGGUCUUGUACACACCGCCCGUCAAACUAUGAGAGGAGUGGGCAUUUAAAAAUACAUUC